UGGGGAAUUUUGGACAAUGGGCGCAAGCCUGAUCCAGCCAUGCCGCGUGUCUGAAGAAGGCCUUCGGGUUGUAAAGGACUUUUGUCAGGGAAGAAAAGGGCGGGGUUAAUACCCCUGUCUGAUGACGGUACCUGAAGAAUAAGCACCGGCUAACUACGUGCCAGCAGCCGCGGUAAUACGUAGGGUGCGAGCGUUAAUCGGAAUUACUGGGCGUAAAGCGGGCGCAGACGGUUACUUAAGCAGGAUGUGAAAUCCCCGGUCUCAACCUGGGAACUGCGUUCUGAACUGGGUGACUAGAGUGUGUCAGAGGGAGGUAGAAUUCCACGUGUAGCAGUGAAAUGCGUAGAGAUGUGGAGGAAUACCGAUGGCGAAGGCAGCCUCCUGGGAUAACACUGACGUUCAUGCCCGAAAGCGUGGGUAGCAAACA
RNAcentral lists this ribosomal RNA (427 nucleotides) under uncultured bacterium. RNAcentral's name for it is "partial 16S ribosomal RNA". It matches the Rfam family "Bacterial small subunit ribosomal RNA", at positions 355 to 774 of the family's 1533-position model. The record is from RNAcentral.